CCCAGACUCCUACGGGAGGCAGCAGUGAGGAAUAUUGGUCAAUGGGCGAGAGCCUGAACCAGCCAAGUCGCGUGAGGGAGUACUGCCCUAUGGGUUGUAAACCUCUUUUGUCAGGGAGCAAAGGGCGCCACGUGUGGCGUUUUGCGAGUACCUGAAGAAAAAGCAUCGGCUAACUCCGUGCCAGCAGCCGCGGUAAUACGGAGGAUGCGAGCGUUAUCCGGAUUUAUUGGGUUUAAAGGGUGCGCAGGCGGAAUGUCAAGUCAGCGGUAAAAUUUCGGGGCUCAACCCCGUCGUGCCGUUGAAACUGGCGUUCUUGAGUGAGCGAGAAGUAUGCGGAAUGCGUGGUGUAGCGGUGAAAUGCAUAGAUAUCACGCAGAACUCCGAUUGCGAAGGCAGCAUACCGGCGCUCAACUGACGCUCAUGCACGAAAGCGUGGGUAUCGAACAGGAUUAGAUACCCUUGUACU
Molecule: ribosomal RNA, 466 nt
Filed under: uncultured bacterium
Lineage: Bacteria
Description: bacterial SSU rRNA
Rfam family: Bacterial small subunit ribosomal RNA
Source: RNAcentral